RNAcentral lists this ribosomal RNA (396 nucleotides) under uncultured bacterium. Its description in RNAcentral is "partial 16S ribosomal RNA". It matches the Rfam family "Bacterial small subunit ribosomal RNA", at positions 523 to 918 of the family's 1533-position model. The record is from RNAcentral.
AUACGGAGGGUGCGAGCGUUAAUCGGAAUUACUGGGCGUAAAGCGCGCGUAGGCGGUCUGAUCAGCCGGUUGUGAAAGCCCCGGGCUCGACCUGGGAACGGCAUCCGGAACUGUCAGGCUAGAGUGCAGGAGAGGAAGGUAGAAUUCCCGGUGUAGCGGGGAAAUGCGUAGAGAUCGGGAGGAAUACCAGGGGCGAAGGCGGCCUUCUGGACUGACACUGACGCUGAGGUGCGAAAGCGUGGGUAGCAAACAGGAUUAGAUACCCUGGUAGUCCACGCCGUAAACGAUGUCGACUAGCCGUUGGGGUCCUUGAGACCUUUGUGGCGCAGUUAACGCGAUAAGUCGACCGCCUGGGGAGUACGGCCGCAAGGUUAAAACUCAAAUGAAUUGGCGGGG